UAAUCUCAUAUUAUAUUGAGGACCUAUAC
This 29-nucleotide non-coding RNA is filed under the name Rattus norvegicus (Norway rat). Lineage: Eukaryota; Metazoa; Chordata; Mammalia; Rodentia; Muridae. The record is from RNAcentral.